Molecule: long non-coding RNA, 832 nt
Organism: Ostrinia nubilalis (European corn borer)
Lineage: Eukaryota; Metazoa; Arthropoda; Insecta; Lepidoptera; Crambidae
Exons: 4
Source: RefSeq, a predicted model, not a curated record
AUUAUUAAAAAAAAAAAACGUCAAAAAUUUUCAUCGAAAAAACGUGUUUUUCUUUAAACAAAUUUUAUCUAAAAUCAAUAAUUUCUCAAUCAAUAUUAAUAAGAACUACAUGUGCAUGGAUUGCCAGUUGGAUUGAUGUUUGUUUUAAGAAGAAAUUUCUCUCAAGUUAAUAUCGAACUUAUAAGGUGUUAAGCUGCAAUUACAAUAAAAGUGCUUGCUAUGGAAUCACCGGUGCUGAUCAUUAUUGUCAACUGUUACUUAAAAUCCAGAUGAACCAACCUUUACUUCCUAUUCAAAUAAGUUUAGAAGAAACCUAUAUAAGCAAUAAAACCAGACCAAGAAUGCUUGAUUACAAACGAUGAACUCAUUUCAUUUGCAAGUUAUGCCAUGACAUAAAUGCAUUAAAUUAGGAAGAUUUGUAUUAGAUGAAUAUUAACUUCUGUUGAUAAGAACAUUUGAUUGGUGGAAUCCAGAUUCUGUGAAUGUACAUGUAAUUGAUUGACAAGUACACAUUUGACAAGGUGGUGAGAAACGUGUAGAUCUGGCCUGCUUACAGUGGCUAUUGGAUUGGACAGAACCAAAGUGAGAGUGAACGUGUGAAUUUAUGGAGAACAUUAAAAACUAUUUUACUAUAUGUCAUAACGCAACUUAUUUUGUAUGAGUUACAUACAAAUGUCAAGCCGUGAGUACAUUAUGUAAAAACUAAAACAAUGUACCUACUGUAAUCACAACAGUAACUGUAAUCUUUUAAAAUCCAAUGGUUUUAAUGCUUAUUGAUUUUCGUAAACAAAAUAUUUCAUGUUAUAUUUCAUCAAUAAAGUUUCAUUUGAUA